Mytilus californianus (California mussel) is the source of this 1155-nucleotide long non-coding RNA. RefSeq lists it as uncharacterized. NCBI's taxonomy places the organism in Eukaryota, Metazoa, Mollusca, Bivalvia, Mytilida, Mytilidae. The record is from RefSeq and is a predicted model, not a curated record. The transcript has 3 exons.
AUUUUUAUAGGUCAAUCAAAGGAUAGAUUUGCAAUGUCAACUCUUCUGGUGAAGCAUGGAUCAAAUUUAAAUGCAGCAUCCAACAGUGGCGAAAGGCCGCUCGAUAUUGUCGUGGGAAAUAUGAUCAAGGAAAUGACAAAUGUUACAGUUUUGUCAACGGCAGAAAAUUGUAGCACUCAAACGGUAGAUUUGUCCUUAUUGAAUGUACUCGUUUGUGGAGGUGCAGAUUUACGUCCUGUAAUAACUGACACAAUUGAACCAUUCUGUGGAAUUUCAUCAUUAAAUACAGUACAUAUAACACCAUUGAAUUAUCCAAACAGAAAUAAAUCUGCCUUGUAUUUGUUAAUUAGUAACGGACUUUUCCAAACUGCCGAAUAUUUGCUACGUAGUGGAUGGGAUGUUGAGAAGGAAGAAUGGUUUUAUACCUUUGAUGUCUCAAAGCUUGAUAUAAUUGAAAAUAUCAUAACAAAUUACCGCAUCUAUAAACGGCAUGAUGUUGAAGCAAAAAAGGCAGAAUUCAAAUCAUGUUUGCAGAACUUUGAUAAGGGUCCUAAAUCCUUAAUAACAAUAUGUAGAAAACAAAUUCGACAGCAACUCCUACUGGUAUCAAAUGGUUCUGAGAUUGAAACAAAGAUUUCAACACUUCCGCUUCCAGAGAAAAUCAAAAGUUUCUUGUCGUUGAAAGAAUAUAUUCAGGAAAACGAAAUUAUUAAGUUUGAAUGAAAGAAAUAAACCGAACACUAUCCAUUCUUUACAAGCACUUGAAUUAUACGGCGGUCUAUUUUCCAAUGCAAAUGCAAUAGUAUUCUGAUGACUAUUAUUAUGAUGGUCAAAACGGUUAUUAUCAAGACACGUACGAUUCGGAUUGGUAACAAUAAGAAAAGGUGGUAUACAUUGCAGCAAACCACUGUUAAAUUUCGAAUUAAAAAUGGCAGUCUAAUGCUAAGAGGAUUGUAAAAGAAGUUUUAAAUUAUGAAAACGGGUUGUUAACUUAAGAUACCACAAAAUCCAGAAAGCCAAAACAAAUGCAGAGAACACACAUUGGUUACAAAGACAGUACAAAGACAUUAGUUUUGCUUUUCUUUUAGUUAUUUACUGAUUGUUUAUCAUUGUCUUCUCUUUUUCUAUUUCUCUAAAAUAAAGUUACUGAACAUA